This 449-nucleotide ribosomal RNA is filed under the name uncultured organism. RNAcentral describes it as "partial 16S ribosomal RNA". It matches the Rfam family "Bacterial small subunit ribosomal RNA", at positions 332 to 797 of the family's 1533-position model. The record is from RNAcentral.
UACACUCCUACGGGAGGCAGCAGUGGGGAAUAUUGGACAAUGGGCGCAAGCCUGAUCCAGCCAUGCCGCGUGAGUGAUGAAGGCCCUAGGGUUGUAAAGCUCUUUCACCGGUGAAGAUAAUGACGGUAACCGGAGAAGAAGCCCCGGCUAACUUCGUGCCAGCAGCCGCGGUAAUACGAAGGGGGCUAGCGUUGUUCGGAUUUAUUGGGCGUAAAGCGCACGUAGGCGGACUAUUAAGUCAGGGGUGAAAUCCCGGGGCUCAACCCCGGAACUGCCUUUGAUACUGGUAGUCUUGAGUUCGAGAGAGGUGAGUGGAAUUCCGAGUGUAGAGGUGAAAUUCGUAGAUAUUCGGAGGAACACCAGUGGCGAAGGCGGCUCACUGGCUCGAUACUGACGCUGAGGUGCGAAAGCGUGGGGAGCAAACAGGAUUAGAUACCCCAGUAGUCCCA